GUAGAUUAACUCAAAGUAAAAGUAUGUUCAUGGCCUCUCACGCCGGAAACCGGGGUUCGAUUCCCCGUGGGAUCACCA
This 78-nucleotide transfer RNA is filed under the name Desulfobacula toluolica Tol2. RNAcentral describes it as "tRNA-Glu (CTC) (tRNA-Glu-CTC-2-1)". Lineage: Bacteria; Pseudomonadati; Thermodesulfobacteriota; Desulfobacteria; Desulfobacterales; Desulfobacteraceae. The record is from RNAcentral.